GCUCCAGUGGUGCAAUGGGUCAGCAUGUGUUAUUUAUAAUGCAGUACUAGUGAAGGAGAGCCAAGGUUGUGAGUUCAAGCCUCACCUGGAACA
Alligator mississippiensis (American alligator) is the source of this 93-nucleotide transfer RNA. It matches the Rfam family "tRNA". Rfam says of the family: Transfer RNA (tRNA) molecules are approximately 80 nucleotides in length. Their secondary structure includes four short double-helical elements and three loops (D, anti-codon, and T loops). Further hydrogen bonds mediate the characteristic L-shaped molecular structure. tRNAs have two regions of fundamental functional importance: the anti-codon, which is responsible for specific mRNA codon recognition, and the 3' end, to which the tRNAs corresponding amino acid is attached (by aminoacyl-tRNA synthetases). tRNAs cope with the degeneracy of the genetic code in two manners: having more than one tRNA (with a specific anti-codon) for a particular amino acid; and 'wobble' base-pairing, i.e. permitting non-standard base-pairing at the 3rd anti-codon position. The record is from Rfam. NCBI's taxonomy places the organism in Eukaryota, Metazoa, Chordata, Crocodylia, Alligatoridae.